UACGUAGGGUCCGAGCGUUGUCCGGAAUUAUUGGGCGUAAAGAGCUCGUAGGCGGUCUGUUGCGUCGGCUGUGAAAACCCGGGGCUCAACUCCGGGCCUGCAGCCGAUACGGGCAGACUAGAGUUCGGCAGGGGAGACUGGAAUUCCUGGUGUAGCGGUGAAAUGCGCAGAUAUCAGGAGGAACACCGGUGGCGAAGGCGGGUCUCUGGGCCGAUACUGACGCUGAGGAGCGAAAGCGUGGGGAGCAAACAGG
Molecule: ribosomal RNA, 253 nt
Filed under: uncultured bacterium
Lineage: Bacteria
Description: partial 16S ribosomal RNA
Rfam family: Bacterial small subunit ribosomal RNA
Source: RNAcentral